UGAGGAAUAUUGGUCAAUGGGCGCAGGCCUGAACCAGCCAAGUAGCGUGAAGGAUGACUGCCCUAUGGGUUGUAAACUUCUUUUAUAUGGGAAUAAAGUUUUCCACGUGUGGAACUUUGUAUGUACCAUAUGAAUAAGGAUCGGCUAACUCCGUGCCAGCAGCCGCGGUAAUACGGAGGAUCCGAGCGUUAUCCGGAUUUAUUGGGUUUAAAGGGAGCGUAGGUGGACAGUUAAGUCAGUUGUGAAAGUUUGCGGCUCAACCGUAAAAUUGCAGUUGAUACUGGCUGUCUUGAGUACAGUAGAGGUGGGCGGAAUUCGUGGUGUAGCGGUGAAAUGCUUAGAUAUCACGAAGAACUCCGAUUGCGAAGGCAGCUCACUGGACUGCAACUGACACUGAUGCUCGAAAGUGUGGGUAUCAAACAGG
This 424-nucleotide ribosomal RNA is filed under the name Acidobacteriota bacterium. RNAcentral describes it as "Acidobacteria bacterium partial 16S ribosomal RNA". It matches the Rfam family "Bacterial small subunit ribosomal RNA", at positions 355 to 776 of the family's 1533-position model. Lineage: Bacteria; Pseudomonadati; Acidobacteriota. The record is from RNAcentral.